RNAcentral lists this ribosomal RNA (497 nucleotides) under uncultured bacterium. RNAcentral's name for it is "partial 16S ribosomal RNA". It matches the Rfam family "Bacterial small subunit ribosomal RNA", at positions 28 to 507 of the family's 1533-position model. The record is from RNAcentral.
GAUGAACGCUGGCGGCGUGCCUAAUACAUGCAAGUCGAGCGAACAGACGAGGAGCUUGCUCCUCUGACGUUAGCGGCGGACGGGUGAGUAACACGUGGAUAACCUACCUAUAAGACUGGGAUAACUUCGGGAAACCGGAGCUAAUACCGGAUAAUAUAUUGAACCGCAUGGUUCAAUAGUGAAAGACGGUUUUGCUGUCACUUAUAGAUGGAUCCGCGCCGCAUUAGCUAGUUGGUAAGGUAACGGCUUACCAAGGCAACGAUGCGUAGCCGACCUGAGAGGGUGAUCGGCCACACUGGAACUGAGACACGGGCCAGACUCCUACGGGAGGCAGCAGUAGGGAAUCGUCCGCAAUGGGCGAAAGCCUGACGGAGCAACGCCGCGUGAGUGAUGAAGGUCUUCGGAUCGUAAAACUCUGUUAUUAGGGAAGAACAAAUGUGUAAGUAACUAUGCACGUCUUGACGGUGCCUAAGCAGAAAGCCACGGCUAGCUACGUG